Drosophila melanogaster (fruit fly) is the source of this 470-nucleotide non-coding RNA. The record is from Ensembl. Lineage: Eukaryota; Metazoa; Arthropoda; Insecta; Diptera; Drosophilidae.
AAUCCUUGCGACUCCUGGUAUUGCCGGACGAUCUGAUCCUGGACAUCUGGGAGACAAGGCGAGUACCUGGAGUACUCCAUGAUACAAUUCAACGUUUCCAAUGUGUACUGAAGAUUACCUCAGCUCUCCCGCAUAGCCAAACAUGUCGUUCAGCGGUACCUCCGCGUAGACAGUGAACCAACCCUCGGUUCCCUCAGUUCCGGUGAUGAUACCAUGCCGUUUGCUCAAGUGACCCAUUACAGCACCCUGGAAUUCCUCGGGUGCAGUGACCUCGACCAGCAUAAUGGGCUCUAGGAUUUGCCAGCUGCCGUUCUGGAAGACCUCUUUGAUGGCACCAUGGGCAGCCAACAUGAAGGCGAGCUCGCUGGAGUCCACGAUGUGGUGACCACCAUCUUGCAGGCGGAAUCGAAUGCCGGACAACUUGUGACCGGAGAGCAUUCCCUUCUCAGCCAUUUCUCUGUAACCUAAGC